AUUUUGUAGCACAUUAAAGAUGAAACCAUCAUGAUCUUUCCUAAAUAAUUUUUCACUUUGGUGGUGUUGAAGUUCUGUUAAUCAUUUUCAAUGUUUAUUCUCAAUUUACCUUAGCAAAAAGCUCUAUACUAGUGCUGAAGGGAGUCAGUCCUAAUAAAGUAAUAAAGUAAGAAAUGGAAUGAUCAUCCAUAUUAGUUAGCAUAGGGGUUCACCUGCUGUCACCAACACCAAUGAUGGCAGUUAUCUUCAUAGUCCCAGUAUAAGGAGUCCUGUGCUGGUUUGGAGACUUGACUAUAUCAGGGACACACCUUCCCCUCUCUGCCAACCAUACAGUAUUCCUUGGUCAGCAUGAUCCCAGCUGGUUCACUAUUGCAUCCUCAUUCCAGCCAGUGGGAGGGGUUACAGGACUGAGCCUUUCUUCCUUUGAAGGACAUGCAUCAUUUCCACAUCCAUCCAAAAUAUCCCAUGGCCAGAAAUUGAUCACAUGACCACAUCAAGAUGCAAGAAACAAUGGAAGAAGUGGUCAUUUUUUUUUCUGGGGGUACUUGAUCCCAACUAAAAAUUGUGUAGCUUAGAUGAGGGGAAUGGAUAUUGAAGGACAAAUGGCAGUUUCUGACACAGUACCCCUAUGACAUUUUUAUUGCCACACAAUGCAGAAUCCAAGGUGUGUCUCUGAUCUACACCACAGCUCACAGCAAUGGCGGAUCAUUAACCCACAGAGUAAGGCCAGGGAUUGAAUCCACAACCUCGUGGUUCCUAGUUGGAUUUGUUAACCACCGAGCCGUGACGGGAACUCCUACUGUGACAUUUUUGAUUCGCCUAUUCCAGAUGGGCUGUGCUACAUCAUGCUGCCCCUUCUUGUGAACUGGAUUUCAAGAGCAACCAGUUCUUUUACAAAGACAUCAAUAUUUAUGAUCUCACUGGUUUCACUAAUUCAACUAUCAUUUAGUGAACACCUACCUUGUGACAAGUUAUGCUAUAAGUACUGAAGAUAAAAAAUUAAAUAACACUCUGUCUUUUCCUCACACUAGAUGGUAGGUGCUCUCCUCAGAGCCUGCUGCAUCCCUCAGGGCCCCAGAGAUGCUGAUUUCUGAGUCCUCACUUCCUUAGGAGGGUAAUGUUCCCCUUGCCUUCCUUGCCUUUCAGGAUUAGAAGAUUGAGUUAUGGAGAUCUGAGUUCUGGUCUCUCUGGCAUCAGGCCAUUCUGAAAGGUCCUUUCCUUUCAGGCAGAAAACCGACAAAGUCAGGCACUUUGCUCUGAGGCUUUCAUUUGCGUUUCUAAGUUGAUUGCCUAAAACUCAGACCGCUUUCCCUGUGGGGAGAGGGAUGGACUGGGCUUCUUAAAGUGUGUGUGUGUGUGUGUGUGUGUGUGUGUGUGUGUGUGCGCGCGCGCGCGUGUGGUGUGAUCCCUGAGAAAAAAGGUGGAACUUCAUGCCAAACUGUUGGAAAGAGAAGAGAGGGCAGAGUGUGGGUGGGGUAAUAGGACCCUGUGUCCUUCUUUGAUGUUGUCCCCUUAGGGAGCCCUUAUUAGAGCCUUCUCUAGCCUUCUUCUCUCUAGUCCCUUGUAACUAGCUUCACCUCUGUCACUUUCUCCUUUCACUCCACUGGCCUCCAAGGUGUUUAGCCAGCCAAGCUUGCUCCCUCCUUAUGGCCUUUAUGUUCUGUGUCCCUUCUGUGUGGGCCACUCUCCCCUGAGUCAUGAGGUUAACCUCUGACUUCCUUCAGGUCUUUACUCACCUUCUCUGUGAGGCCUUCCAUGGCCACUCUUUCAAAACUGUCAGCCUUUCAUCUCGAUGCUCUAUACAUUUCCCUGCUCUACUAUGUCUCCUGAGCACUCGCUAUUGUUUACUUAAUUUCUGCUAGAAACAGAGCGGAAUGGACAAUAAAAGACAGAUAAUCUCCAGGGGAACAUGGAUUUUUGUCUGUUUGUUUCUUUCUUUUUUUUCUUUUUACAGCUGCACCUGUGGCACAUGGAAGAUCCAGGGCUAGGGCCUGAAUCAAAGCUGCAGCUGAGCCCUAUGCCACAGCCAUGGCAACAUCUAAAACCUGUGCUGCAGCUUAUGGCAGUGCUGGAUCUUUAACACAGUGAGUGAGGCUAGGGUUCAAACCUGCAUCCUUACAGAGACUGUGCUGGGUCCUUAACUCCCUGAGCCACAAUAGGAACUCCUGUCUGUUUUUUUCAUACUCUGUCUUAUAGAAUAGUUCUUUGUACAUGGUACAUUCUUUAGUAAGUAUUUGUUAAGUGAAUGAAUAAUGACAAAAUUCCCUAAGUCUCAGCUAGACAAAUAGGAAGUAUAAUCUCCUUCAUUUAAAUUGAUCAUAUGAUUUGGACAAUUGGAAUUUCAGUAGAAAUUCUUGACUUUAGGAUUGAAGACUCCCCUAAGCUUGUUGGCUAGUAUAGGGAAUCUUAGUAACAAAGGGCAUAAAGUCACAUAGUUUAUGAUAGUUUUAAUCAUAGUUUAUGAUUUUUUGAAGAUGAAGGAGAUGUGGCAUUUCUUGCAUCACAAUGUUUUGAGCAAAGUGUAGCCAGUUCACCUUGAGUGUGCACAAAAGCCAGCCUUGCCGCCUCCUGCUAGCUUUUGUCGGUGCAAGUAUGCCUGGCAGUUUGACUUGAGAAUGGCAUUAAGGACUUGCCAUGGUGCUGACAUGAGAAGUGAGAAAUGGCAAGUGCAUGGAACUAGCACAGGGAGCAAAGGGUCAGUGUUUCAAUACCAGCCAUGGCUUAGUUGAUAAGAUACUGCAAAUGAGUACUUCAUGUGUGUGUGUGAGUCUCUGUGUGUCACAUAAGAAGCAUAUAUUGUGUUAUGUGCACAAUGGCCAGUGAAUUUGAUGCCUCUGUUAUGGAUGCUAUUGGAUGUGUCAGCACUUCUUCCAUUCCCUUCUGUCUUGAGGUGUGUGGAAAUUUCUCCUGUGCCAUCCUUUACUUUGAUAAAGGAAUUGAAAAUAAGGUCUCCUCUCUUUGCUUUUGACUUCUCCAUUCAUAUAAUUGGUUUUCCUCCUUUGCUCAGUGCUCCCUAUGGUCACAUCAUAUUACAAAUUAUUAUAUAAUAAAAGUUGUUGCCUUGUAUUUUCUUUCCUACCUGUUUCCUACAGAACUUGGGAGAAAUAAAAGGAAUUGACCCAGGUUAAGAUGACAAAAAUAAUUAUCCCUCGUUUAAAAGAAGAAAAGUUUACAUUAAUAGACUAAUUCAAAUUUAUUUAAUUUUGCACAGAAUUAAAAAAAGCAUCUCACUGAAAAGUAACAUGAAAAAGAAUAUUAAAAUUCUUGAUAAGUUAAGGGGUUAGAAACUACCAUUUAUUGACUAUGUAUAGGGUACCAUCUAGAAAUUCAGUAACUGAGCUGAGAAAUUGAUGUUAUCCCAUUUUACAGGGAAAGAAACCAAGCUUCAGGGAUGUUAAUAAAUGCUAAGGACAUAUUAGUAGGAAGUGGGAGAGGCUGGAUUUGUAUUUAGAUGUGUCUGAUUCCAACCAAACUUUACUAUGCUGGUUUCCAACUGUCUUUAAAUUCAGAGUGUUCUUAAAAUUUCAGUACUGUACAUUCUAAAUUGAAAGCACUGUAUUUCAUUUCUAAGUAAGAUCAUCUUUUCCCUUUGCCAGAAAUAAUAUCUUUGAUUGCUCUAGCGCUUGGUUUGUAUGAAUUGCUUUCCUUGUUUUCUCAAUGCCAUGCAGGGAUUUAAAGUUCCUUGCUGUUAAAAACAGAGAUGAGUUACCUCAUUUUUGAAAUUCCUACACUGAGUUUCAAAAGCAAAAACAUGUCAUUAGGAGCUUAGGCUCAGAAUCUGAAUUUCAUCUUCUCUGCUUACUUACUGCAUAAUAGUGGCCACAUUCCUUAAUUAGGCUGUACCUCAAUAUCUCUAUCUGUAAAACAGAGGUAAUAUCAUCAAUAUAAAGAUUAAAAUAGUUAAUGUGUUAAUACAAUUAAAGUGCUUUUAAACAGAGCCUGACACACAAACAUCACCAAUAAAAUUUUUAUUUCUACCCAGGCAUGGCAAUCAUAAAGAGACAAUCAUUUUCAUUUUCUGGAACAUAGGAUAUUAGUUUCCUAAGGAUCCUUUCCUUCCAUGUCUUCCUGUUAACUAUCUGCUAGGGUUAUGCCAGCUGCGCAUGGUGCUUUUUCACUCAAGAGGAAGACAUCUGAAAAUAGGCCUGUCUGUCUCUUUUAUUUUUAAAUUCAUACAUUUGUAAUGAAAAAAGCAAACUGAUCAUCAUUGGAGGAUCUUAGUGGACCAACUCAGUAUUUUGAAAAUUGGUCAGUACAGCAACAUACUAAAGGCCUAUCCUUCAUUUCCUGUGUGGACUGUCCUACUAGAUAAUCAAUAGUAGAAAAGGAAUUAUUUCUUUUCACAGAAGAGUGCAUGGAUCUAGGCAUUGGACAUCAAUACCCCUAAGAUCAAAGAGAGACAUAGAUAGAUAGACAGAUAGAUAGAUAUAUAGAUAGAUAGAUUAUGUGAUUCCAUUUAAUUGAACAUACCAUCAAUAAAGUAGUCUUAUUAAACACUAUAAUUUAUGGAGUUCCCAUUGUGGCUCAGCAAUAACGAACCUGAUUAGUAUCCGUGAGGACAUGGGUUCAGUCCCUAGCCUUGCUCAGUGGGUUAAGGAUCUGAUGCUGCUGUGAGCUGUGGUGUAGGUUGCAGACAUGGUUUAGUGUUGCUUAGGCUGUGGUGUAGGCAGGCAGCUUCAGCUCUGAAUUGACCACUAACGUGGGAACUUCCAUUUGACGUGGGUGCAACCCUGAAAAAAGAAAAGAAAAGGAAAAAAAAAAAAAAGAAAAAAAA
RNAcentral lists this long non-coding RNA (4774 nucleotides) under Sus scrofa (pig). RNAcentral's name for it is "lncRNA (ENSSSCG00030033130.1)". Lineage: Eukaryota; Metazoa; Chordata; Mammalia; Artiodactyla; Suidae. The record is from RNAcentral.